Molecule: long non-coding RNA, 1023 nt
Filed under: Corvus moneduloides (New Caledonian crow)
Lineage: Eukaryota; Metazoa; Chordata; Aves; Passeriformes; Corvidae
Description: lncRNA (ENSCMUG00000017490.1)
Source: RNAcentral
GGGGGGGGGGGGGGCGGCAGACGCGGCAGCAGAGUGCUGCGAGCUCCGCUGCAAGCCAGCGGCGAAUUAAUCGGGAGGAGCAGCAGAGCAGCAGACCCUUCCCUCCCCCCCCUCCCUCCCCGCCCCGUUCCCUCCCCGGAGGAAUUACAGACCCUUCGCAACAAGCUCCUGGGCUUUGACCUUCAGCAAACCGGAUCGCCUUCCUCGCCCCCCGCAGCCCCCCCUGCUCACACACACCCCCCCCCACACACACACCUCUCCCGGAUCCCCCUCCCCCUGCCUUGGGCUGGGCAGCGCCGGGGGAAGGUUCGCAGCGCGCGCGCACCCAGAGGAGGAGGGAAAAGAGGAGGAAAGGGAGGAAAAAAAAAAAAAAAAAAAAAAAGGAAAAGGAUUUACAAAUUCGCUGGGUGGUUUUUGUUGUUGUUGUUGUUGUUGUCGUCGUCCUCCUCCCCCCCGCCCCCGCCGCGAUGGCAGGGCGGCUCGGAGGGAUGCGAGGAGAGCUGCGGGGGGAGGAGGCGGGGUGCUGAGCGCUCCGCUCGCCCCGCUGCUGCUGCUGCUGCUGCUGCUGCUGCUGCUUUGUGUGUGUGUCCUGGAUUCGGCUUUUUUUUUUUUUUUUUUUUUUUUUUUUUUUUUUUUUUUUUUGGAGAAGGAGCUUGUGGCAGCCGCGCCGAGGAGAGGAAGAGGAGGAGUAGGGGGGGAGCCUUUUUAAUUCAUUUUCGAUACAAAUUCUGCAUUUCGAGCCUCUGCAGGCAGCCGGACUCGUGGUGGCGGCGGCGGUGUUGUUGUGGGUGGUGGUUGUGCGUGGGGUGUCCCCUCCACCCUCCCCGGUGGAGCGGGGAGCGGAGCCGCGGGGAUCCCGCCGGGGCAGCCCCGUCCCCGCGCGGGGGGACGGCGGAGCUGUUGUUGUUUUGUAAUAGGAUUGUCUGGGUCGCGCCCCCCCCCCCUUCCCCUCCCUCCGCGGCCCUCCCAGUUUUUGUGUCUCUGUGUGUGUGCGUGUGUGCGGUGUUUGAAAAUGGAGGUUGA